Molecule: ribosomal RNA, 900 nt
Filed under: uncultured archaeon
Lineage: Archaea
Description: bacterial SSU rRNA
Rfam family: Archaeal small subunit ribosomal RNA
Source: RNAcentral
CUAGUUGUACGGGUUUAGACCCGUAGCAAAUAGCUCCGUAACACGUGGUCAAACUACCCUCUGGACCGGAAUACCCUCGGGAAACUGAGGCUAAUUCCGGAUACUGCUUUCAUGUUGGAACACAGAAAGUCGGAAACGGUCCGCCGCCGGAGGACGUGACUGCGGCCGAUUAGGUAGACGGUGGGGUAACGGCCCACCGUGCCGAUAAUCGGUACGGGUUGUGAGAGCAAGAACCCGGAGACGGUAUCUGAGACAAGAUACCGGGCCCUACGGGGCGCAGCGGGCGCGAAACCUUUACACUGCACGCCAGUGCGAUAAGGGGACCCCGAGUGCGAGGGCAUACAGUCCUCGCUCUUCGUGACCGUAAGAAGGUCUCAGAAUAAGAGCUGGGCAAGACCGGUGCCAGCCGCCGCGGUAAUACCGGCAGCUCGAGUGAUAGCCACUAUUAUUGGGCCUAAAGCGUCCGUAGCCGGCCGAACAGGUCCGUCGGGAAAUCCACCCGCUCAACGGGUGGACGUCCGGCGGAAACCAGUCGGCUUGGGGCCGGGAGACCAGAGAGGUACGUCCGGGGUAGGAGUGAAAUCCCGUAAUCCUGGACGGACCGCCGGUAGCGAAAGCGUCUCUGGAGAACGGACCCGACGGUGAGGGACGAAAGCUUGGGUCUCGAACCGGAUUAGAUACCCGGGUAGUCCAAGCUGUAAACGAUGCUCGCUAGGUGUGGCGUUGGCUACGAGCCAGCGCUGUGCCGUAGGGAAGCCGAGAAGCGAGCCGCCUGGGAAGUACGUCCGCAAGGAUGAAACUUAAAGGAAUUGGCGGGGGAGCACUACAACCGGAGGAGCCUGCGGUUUAAUUGGACUCAACGCCGGACAUCUCACCGGCACCGACAGUGUGCAGUGACAG